Molecule: long non-coding RNA, 706 nt
Organism: Nyctereutes procyonoides (raccoon dog)
Lineage: Eukaryota; Metazoa; Chordata; Mammalia; Carnivora; Canidae
Exons: 3
Source: RefSeq, a predicted model, not a curated record
CCUGAAGCAACAUCUGCCCCACACCACUCUUUGCCAAGGCAGGUUUGGUAUGGGAGUGAGCGCAAAGCUUCUUACUCAGGAUGAAGUCGAGCUCCUCACCCUGGCAAAGUCCUCCAUCCAGGCAAGUCACCUAAAGGAACUCAUGAUGAAUCAAUAAUAUCAACACUAUUCCUGCAAAGCCAGAGGCUGGAGAUUUGCAUUUUGAAAAUAACAAAGGAUAGGGAUCCCUGGGUGGCGCAGCGGUUUGGCGCCCUGCGCGAUCCUGGAGACCCCGGGUCGAAUCCCACAUCGGGCUCCCGGUGCAUGGAGCCUGCUUCUCCCUCUGUCUAUGUCUCUGCCUCUCUCUCUCUCUCUGUGACUAUCAUAAAUAAAUAAAAAUAAAAAUAAAUUUAAAAAAAAAAGAAAAUAACAAAGGAUAAGGGAGGACACAUUUAAAAAUUUUUUGUUGGCAGUCUGAAAUGUCUAGCCCUACCACUAACUGAAUUAACAGACAAAAUGAACUCCAAACAGCUGAACUGCUGGUACAAAGGAAGGAAAUUAUAAAUACCCACUGUGAAGGAAUCCCUGGGUGGCUCAGUGGUUUAGCCCGUGCCUUUGGCCCCAGGGUGUGAUCUUGGAGUCCCGGGAUCAAGUCCCACAUCAGGCUCCCUGCAUGGAGCCUGCUUCUCCCUCUGCCUGUGUCUCUGCCUCUCUCUGUGUGUGUAUC